AUUGAACGCUGGCGGAAUGCUUUACACAUGCAAGUCGAACGGCAGCACGGGGGCAACCCUGGUGGCGAGUGGCGAACGGGUGAGUAAUACAUCGGAACGUGCCCGGUCGUGGGGGAUAACGUAGCGAAAGUUACGCUAAUACCGCAUACGAUCUGAGGAUGAAAGCGGGGGACCUUCGGGCCUCGCGCGAUCGGAGCGUCCGAUGUCAGAUUAGGUAGUUGGUGGGGUAAAGGCCUACCAAGCCGACGAUCUGUAGCUGGUCUGAGAGGACGACCAGCCACACUGGGACUGAGACACGGCCCAGACUCCUACGGGAGGCAGCAGUGGGGAAUUUUGGACAAUGGGCGCAAGCCUGAUCCAGCCAUUCCGCGUGCAGGACGAAGGCCUUCGGGUUGUAAAGUGCUUUUGUAUGGAACGAAAAGGCUCUGGCUAAUACCUGGGGCUCAUGACGGUACCGUAAGAAUAAGCACCGGCUAACUACGUG
This 484-nucleotide ribosomal RNA is filed under the name uncultured bacterium. Its description in RNAcentral is "partial 16S ribosomal RNA". It matches the Rfam family "Bacterial small subunit ribosomal RNA", at positions 30 to 507 of the family's 1533-position model. The record is from RNAcentral.